UACUACCGAAGCUACGGCAUCAGUAAUGAUGGGUAGGGGAGCUUCCCAUACGGGUUGAAGCAUGACCGUAAGGACAUGUGGACAGUAUGGGAGUGAGAAUGUUGGCAUGAGUAGCGAGAUGUGGGUGAGAAUCCCACAGGCCGUAAACCCAAGGUUUCCAGGGGAAGGUUCGUCCGCCCUGGGUUAGUCGGGACCUAAGCUGAGGCCGAAAGGCGUAGGUGAUGGACAACAGGUUGAUAUUCCUGUACUACCGAUAACCGUUUGAGAGAAGGGAUGACACAGUAGGAUAAGCUAAGCACACUGUUGGUUAUGUGUGCCCAAGCAUUGAGGCAGUCAAAGUAGGCAAAUCCGCUUUGAUAAUGCUGGGGUGUGAUGGGGAGCGAAAUUUAGUAGCGAAGUAGCUGAUUUCACACUGUCAAGAAAAGUCUCUAUCGAGGUUAAAGGUACCCGUACCGCAAACCGACACAGGUGGGUGAGGAGAGUAUCCGAAGGCCA
This 495-nucleotide ribosomal RNA is filed under the name Clostridioides difficile. Its description in RNAcentral is "bacterial LSU rRNA". It matches the Rfam family "Bacterial large subunit ribosomal RNA", at positions 1189 to 1689 of the family's 2925-position model. The record is from RNAcentral. Lineage: Bacteria; Bacillati; Bacillota; Clostridia; Peptostreptococcales; Peptostreptococcaceae.